GAUGAACGCUAGCGGCAGGCUUAACACAUGCAAGUCGAGGGGUAGAAGGAGCUUGCUCCUUUGAGACCGGCGCACGGGUGCGUAACGCGUAUGCAAUCUACCUUUUGCAGAGGGAUAGCCCAGAGAAAUUUGGAUUAAUACCUCAUAGUAUGUGAGGAUGGCAUCAUUUUCACAUUAAAGUCACAACGGCAAAAGAUGAGCAUGCGUCCCAUUAGCUAGUUGGUAAGGUAACGGCUUACCAAGGCUACGAUGGGUAGGGGUCCUGAGAGGGAGAUCCCCCACACUGGUACUGAGACACGGACCAGACUCCUACGGGAGGCAGCAGUGAGGAAUAUUGGACAAUGGGCGGCAAGCCUGAUCCAGCCAUGCCGCGUGCAGGAUGACGGUCCUAUGGAUUGUAAACUGCUUUUGUACAGGAAGAAACACUACUUCGUGAAGUAGCUUGACGGUACUGUAAGAAUAAGGAUC
RNAcentral lists this ribosomal RNA (468 nucleotides) under uncultured bacterium. Its description in RNAcentral is "bacterial SSU rRNA". It matches the Rfam family "Bacterial small subunit ribosomal RNA", at positions 28 to 494 of the family's 1533-position model. The record is from RNAcentral.